CAGCAGCCGCGGUAAAACGGAGGGUGCAAGCGUUAAUCGGAAUUACUGGGCGUAAAGCGCACGCAGGCGGUUUGUUAAGUCAGAUGUGAAAUCCCCGAGCUUAACUUGGGAACUGCAUUUGAAACUGGCAAGCUAGAGUCUUGUAGAGGGGGGUAGAAUUCCAGGUGUAGCGGUGAAAUGCGUAGAGAUCUGGAGGAAUACCGGUGGCGAAGGCGGCCCCCUGGACAAAGACUGACGCUCAGGUGCGAAAGCGUGGGGAGCAAACAGGAUUAGAUACCCCGGUAGUCCCUGUCUCUUAUAC
RNAcentral lists this ribosomal RNA (301 nucleotides) under uncultured bacterium. RNAcentral's name for it is "partial 16S ribosomal RNA". It matches the Rfam family "Bacterial small subunit ribosomal RNA", at positions 509 to 807 of the family's 1533-position model. The record is from RNAcentral.